This 465-nucleotide ribosomal RNA is filed under the name uncultured Klebsiella sp. Its description in RNAcentral is "bacterial SSU rRNA". It matches the Rfam family "Bacterial small subunit ribosomal RNA", at positions 338 to 795 of the family's 1533-position model. The record is from RNAcentral. Lineage: Bacteria; Pseudomonadati; Pseudomonadota; Gammaproteobacteria; Enterobacterales; Enterobacteriaceae.
CCUACGGGAGGCUGCAGUGGGGAAUAUUGCACAAUGGGCGCAAGCCUGAUGCUGCCAUGCCGCGUGUGUGAAGAAGGCCUUCGGGUUGUAAAGCACUUUCAGCGGGGAGGAAGGCGUUAAGGUUAAUAACCUUGGCGAUUGACGUUACCCGCAGAAGAAGCACCGGCUAACUCCGUGCCAGCAGCCGCGGUAAUACGGAGGGUGCAAGCGUUAAUCGGAAUUACUGGGCGUAAAGCGCACGCAGGCGGUCUGUCAAGUCGGAUGUGAAAUCCCCGGGCUCAACCUGGGAACUGCAUUCGAAACUGGCAGGCUAGAGUCUUGUAGAGGGGGGUAGAAUUCCAGGUGUAGCGGUGAAAUGCGUAGAGAUCUGGAGGAAUACCGGUGGCGAAGGCGGCCCCCUGGACAAAGACUGACGCUCAGGUGCGAAAGCGUGGGGAGCAAACAGGAUUAGAUACCCGUGUAGUC